RNAcentral lists this ribosomal RNA (455 nucleotides) under uncultured bacterium. RNAcentral's name for it is "bacterial SSU rRNA". It matches the Rfam family "Bacterial small subunit ribosomal RNA", at positions 392 to 842 of the family's 1533-position model. The record is from RNAcentral.
CCAUUCCGCGUGAGUGAAGAAGGCUUCGGGUUGUAAAGCUCUUUCAGCUGGAACGAAACGGUACGCUCUAACAUAGCGUGCUAAUGACGGUACCAGCAGAAGAAGCACCGGCUAACUACGUGCCAGCAGCCGCGGUAAUACGUAGGGUGCGAGCGUUAAUCGGAAUUACUGGGCGUAAAGCGUGCGCAGGCGGAUUGUUAAGCAAGAUGUGAAAUCCCCGGGCUUAACCUGGGAAUGGCAUUUUGAACUGGCAGUCUAGAGUGUGUCAGAGGGGGGUGGAAUUCCACGUGUAGCAGUGAAAUGCGUAGAUAUGUGGAGGAACACCAAUGGCGAAAGCAGCCCCCUGGGAUAACACUGACGCUCAUGUACGAAAGCGUGGGUAGCAAACAGGAUUAGAUCCCUGGUAGUCCACGCCCUAAACGAUGUCACUGGUUGUUGGGGGAUGAAAUCCCUUA